This is a non-coding RNA of Myotis lucifugus (little brown bat), 76 nucleotides long. The record is from Rfam. Lineage: Eukaryota; Metazoa; Chordata; Mammalia; Chiroptera; Vespertilionidae.
GGUGGUUCUUGGGUGAGGCACCCCGGAAUCAGGGCUCCCUCCUCUCUGGUUCUGGGUGUAUCACUGGAGAACCAUA